UACAGAGGUCUCAAGCGUUGUUCGGAUUCAUUGGGCGUAAAGGGCGCGUAGGCGGCGGGGUAAGUCGGGUGUGAAAUCUCAGAGCUCAACUCUGAAACUGCACUCGAUACUGCUCUGCUUGAGGACUGGAGAGGAGACUGGAAUUCACGGUGUAGCAGUGAAAUGCGUAUAUAUCGUGAGGAAGACCAGUGGCGAAGGCGGGUCUCUGGACAGUUCCUGACGCUGAGGCGCGAAGGCCAGGGGAGCAAACGGG
Molecule: ribosomal RNA, 253 nt
Filed under: uncultured bacterium
Lineage: Bacteria
Description: partial 16S ribosomal RNA
Rfam family: Bacterial small subunit ribosomal RNA
Source: RNAcentral